RNAcentral lists this ribosomal RNA (469 nucleotides) under uncultured bacterium. Its description in RNAcentral is "partial 16S ribosomal RNA". It matches the Rfam family "Bacterial small subunit ribosomal RNA", at positions 28 to 507 of the family's 1533-position model. The record is from RNAcentral.
GACGAACGCUGGCGGCGUGCUUAACACAUGCAAGUCGAACGGAAAGGCCCUGCUUGCCGGGUGCUCGAGUGGCGAACGGGUGAGUAACACGUGGGUGAUCUGCCCCUUACUUUGGGAUAAGCCUGGGAAACUGGGUCUAAUACUGGAUAGGACCAUGCUGUAGGUGGUGUGGUGGAAAGAUUAGUUUCGGUAAGGGAUGAGCUCGCGGCCUAUCAGCUUGUUGGUGGGGUAAUGGCCUACCAAGGCGUCGACGGGUAGCCGGCCUGAGAGGGUGGACGGCCACAUUGGGACUGAGAUACGGCCCAGACUCCUACGGGAGGCAGCAGUGGGGAAUAUUGCACAAUGGGCGCAAGCCUGAUGCAGCGACGCCGCGUGGGGGAUGACGGCCUUCGGGUUGUAAACUCCUUUCAGCCAUGACGAAGCCCUUGUGGUGACGGUAGUGGUAGAAGAAGCACCGGCUAACUACGUG